Molecule: microRNA precursor, 132 nt
Filed under: Callithrix jacchus (white-tufted-ear marmoset)
Lineage: Eukaryota; Metazoa; Chordata; Mammalia; Primates; Cebidae
Description: microRNA cja-mir-1282 precursor
Rfam family: mir-1282 microRNA precursor family (bases 12-112)
Source: miRBase by way of RNAcentral
CUUGGGUUCCUCCUUCUUCUCGUUUGCCUUUUUCUGCUUCUGCUGCAUGAUCUCCGAGUCCCUGGGGGUAGAGAUGAUGGGGCACUGGGAGGUACCAGAGGGCAAAAAGGACAAGACACAGGGGGAUGAAGG